Molecule: long non-coding RNA, 1126 nt
Filed under: Oryzias javanicus (javanese ricefish)
Lineage: Eukaryota; Metazoa; Chordata; Actinopteri; Beloniformes; Adrianichthyidae
Description: lncRNA (ENSOJAG00000009336.1)
Source: RNAcentral
GGAGGGAGAGCCCGAGGGUCCUGUGUGCCAGCUCCGCGGAGGGAAGGGGGUGUUUUGUGUGUGUGGGGGGUGACGGGGGUGUAGCCCUUCCCUCCUUCUCUCCUCCCUCUUCUGCUCCCCCCCUCUCAGCCGCUUUCAGACCAUUGUUGUUGUGACUGCCAUCCGGGGAGCAGCAGAGCGCCUGUGUCGGGUCUGGUGCGCGGAGGACGGUUCGCUCCCCUCAGCGCAACUAAAGAGAAACGCACUGAGGAGGUCGAGCUUCUCUUCUCAGAAACCAGUGGAAAGAAACAACAAAAGUGCAAUAAAAAUAACUGAUCUGCAGUGAGAGGCUGUAAAGUCUCUGCGUAAAGACGCACGAAAAGACGCAUCCAGGAACGGCGCUCUGUGUGGACUCAUUGGAUCUUUUUAACUUAAGACGCUGAUUUUUUGUUGUCAUCUUCUGUGUUCAGUGCGCUGUUGUAAUCCGUGGAAUUAGCGGUGUAGGCCACGGACUUUGCCCCAAGGAUCACAUCUCCUCCAGCAAGUCUAUAUUCUCCAGUCGCCGGAGCUGCUUCGGAUGGAUUUACAACACUGACUUUUAACUUCCAUCGGAUAUAAACCAAAUCCUACUUUUUUGGAGAAAGAGAAGGACUGUUAAGUUUCAAAAUGAGAAUUUCAAUAUUCUCUCGUUUCGCCCGGGAACAGGAGUGAUUUUCUCCCGCGGUGCCAGUCAUCCUCAGGAGGACAGACCGGGAGGAAAAGGAUCCAGGUUGCCGAUGCCGAGGCGUUUGAGGGCCGCUCCAACUUUUUAAUCUCUACCACGUUGCUUCCUGAAGAUGGAGAGGGUCUGCUCUUUCUGGGUGCUGCUGAUCUGUUUGGUGGACGGAGUUGCAGUCAGAACGGUUGCAAAAACGAGAAAUAAAGAUAUUCAGGAGUCCAGGCCUCUGAUUGUGCCAGGUUACCCCAAGAACGCCACAGUGGAGUUGGGUGGUCAGGCGAAACUGCUGUGCAAAAUCCACAAGCCGGCGUUCACCAAAGUGCAGUGGCUGAAGUCUGAAUCCAGCGGCCAGCCUCAGAUCAGAGCUCUGACGGUGAGAUCGGGUCUUCAGACUCCAAAAAAACUCCUCAGAUUUCUACGUUUUCUGUG